GCGGACGGGUUAGUAACGCGUGGGAACGUGCCCUUCACUACGGAAUAGUCCCGGGAAACUGGGUUUAAUACCGUAUACGCCCUUCGGGGGAAAGAUUUAUCGGUGAAGGAUCGGCCCGCGUCUGAUUAGAUAGUUGGUGGGGUAACGGCCUACCAAGUCUACGAUCAGUAGCUGGUUUGAGAGGAUGAUCAGCAACACUGGGACUGAGACACGGCCCAGACUCCUACGGGAGGCAGCAGUGGGGAAUCUUAGACAAUGGGCGCAAGCCUGAUCUAGCCAUGCCGCGUGAGUGAUGAAGGCCUUAGGGUCGUAAAGCUCUUUCGCCAGGGAUGAUAAUGACAGUACCUGGUAAAGAAACCCCGGCUAACUCCGUGCCAGCAGCCGCGGUAAUACGGAGGGGGUUAGCGUUGUUCGGAAUUACUGGGCGUAAAGCGCGCGUAGGCGGAUUAGUCAGUCAGAGGUGAAAUCCCAGGGCUCAACCCUGGAACUGCCUUUGAUACUGCUAGUCUUGAGUUCGAGAGAGGUGAGUGGAAUUCCGAGUGUAGAGGUGAAAUUCGUAGAUAUUCGGAGGAACACCAGUGGCGAAGGCGGCUCACUGGCUCGAUACUGACGCUGAGGUGCGAAAGUGUGGGGAGCAAACAGGAUUAGAUACCCUGGUAGUCCACACCG
Molecule: ribosomal RNA, 669 nt
Filed under: Maritimibacter alkaliphilus
Lineage: Bacteria; Pseudomonadati; Pseudomonadota; Alphaproteobacteria; Rhodobacterales; Roseobacteraceae
Description: bacterial SSU rRNA
Rfam family: Bacterial small subunit ribosomal RNA
Source: RNAcentral